CCUACGGGCGGCAGCAGUGAGGAAUAUUGGUCAAUGGGAGAGAUCCUGAACCAGCCAAGCCGCGUGCGGGAAGACGGCCCUAUGGGUUGUAAACCUCUUUUGUCGGGGAACAAAACCCCUUACGUGUCCCGGACUGCGUGUAUCCGAAGAAAAAGCAUCGGCUAACUCCGUGCCAGCAGCCGCGGUAAUACGGAGGGUGCGAGCGUUAUCCGGAUUUAUUGGGUUUAAAGGGUGCGUAGGCGGUCCGUUAAGUCAGCGGUAAAAUUGCGGGGCUCAACCCCGUCGAGCCGUGGAAACUGGCGGACUUGAGUCGGCGAGAAGUACGCGGAAUGCGCGGUGUAGCGGUGAAAUGCAUAGAUAUGGCGCAGAACCCCGAUUGCGAAGGCAGCGUACUGGAGCCAGACUGACGCUGAGGCACGAAAGCGCGGGGAUCGAACAGGAUUAGAUACCCGAGUAGUC
RNAcentral lists this ribosomal RNA (459 nucleotides) under uncultured bacterium. RNAcentral's name for it is "partial 16S ribosomal RNA". It matches the Rfam family "Bacterial small subunit ribosomal RNA", at positions 338 to 795 of the family's 1533-position model. The record is from RNAcentral.